GCUGGGUGUGGUGGCUCACACCUGUAAUCCUAGCACUUUGGGAGGCUGAGGCAGGUGGAUCACUUGAGGUCAGGUGUUCAAGACCAGCCUGGCCAACAUGGUGAAACCCUGUCUCUA
This 117-nucleotide small RNA is filed under the name Pongo abelii (Sumatran orangutan). RNAcentral's name for it is "Metazoan signal recognition particle RNA (ENSPPYG00000039846.1)". Lineage: Eukaryota; Metazoa; Chordata; Mammalia; Primates; Hominidae. The record is from Rfam by way of RNAcentral.